Molecule: ribosomal RNA, 433 nt
Filed under: uncultured bacterium
Lineage: Bacteria
Description: partial 16S ribosomal RNA
Rfam family: Bacterial small subunit ribosomal RNA
Source: RNAcentral
AACGAACGCUGGCGGCAUGCCUAAUACAUGCAAGUCGAACGAGAUCUUCGGAUCUAGUGGCGCACGGGUGCGUAACGCGUGGGAAUCUGCCCUUGGGUUCGGAAUAACUUCUGGAAACGGAAGCUAAUACCGGAUGAUGACGUAAGUCCAAAGAUUUAUCGCCCCAGGAUGAGCCCGCGUAGGAUUAGGUAGUUGGUGAGGUAAAGGCUCACCAAGCCGACGAUCCUUAGCUGGUCUGAGAGGAUGAUCAGCCACACUGGGACUGAGACACGGCCCAGACUCCUACGGGAGGCAGAAGUAGGGAAUAUUGGACAAUGGGCGAAAGCCUGAUCCAGCAAUGCCGCGUGAGUGAUGAAGGCCUUAGGGUUGUAAAGCUCUUUUACCCGGGAUGAUAAUGACAGUACCGGGAGAAUAAGCGCCGGCUAACUCCGUG